GGUACAUGCCGGGCGUUGGUAGCCCCGGUUGCAAGGGACCGAAAUUAGAGUAGGGAAGAUGGACUUGGAUACUGGCGAGAAAAGCUCUGUGGAUAUCUGCGAUGCCCGUACCGCAAACCGACACAGGUAGGUAGGAAGAGGAUUCUAAGGCCAACGGGAGAAGGGUUGUUAAGGAACUCGGCAAGUUGACCCCGUAACUUCGGGAGAAGGGGUGCUCUGGAAACAGAGCCGCAGAGAAUAGGUCCAGGCAACUGUUUAGCAAAAACACAGCUCUCUGCUAAAUCGAAAGAUGAUGUAUAGGGGGUGACGCCUGCCCGGUGCUGGAAGGUUAAGAGGAGGAGUGAGAGCCCCGAAUCGAAGCCCCAGUAAACGGCGGCCGUAACAAUAACGGUCCUAAGGUAGCGAAAUUCCUUGUCAGGUAAGUUCUGACCCGCACGAAAGGCGUAAUGAUCUGGACACUGUCUCAACAGCCCACCCGGCGAAAUUGUAGUACCGGUGAAGAUGCCGGUUACCCGCGACAAGACGGAAAGACCCCAUGGAGCUUUACUGCAGCCUAAUAUAGGAUUUCGGUAUUUCAUGUACAGGAUAGGUGGGAGACUAGGAAACACAGGCGUCAGCUUGUGCGGAGUCGCCCUUGGGAUACCACCCUUGAAGUGCUGGAAUUCUAACCUGUGGCCAUGAAUCUGGUCAGGGGACAUUGUUAGGCGGGCAGUUUGACUGGGGCGGUCGCCUCCAAAAGAGUAACGGAGGCGCUCAAAGGUUUGCUCAGCAUGGCCGGAAACCAUGCCUUAGAGUGUAAACGCAAAAGCAAGCCCAACUGCGAGACCGACGGGUCGAGCAGAAACGAAAGUUGGAGUUAGUGAUCCGGUGGUAUGUGAGUGGAAAUGCCAUCGCUCAACGGAUAAAAGCUACCCUGGGGAUAACAGGCUGAUCUCCCCCAAGAGUCCACAUCGUCGGGGAGGUUUGGCACCUCGAUGUCGGCUCAUCGCAUCCUGGGGCUGUAUUCGGUCCCAAGGGUUUGGCUGUUCGCCAAUUAAAGCGGUACGCGAGCUGGGUUCAGAACGUCGUGAGACAGUUCGGUCCCUAUCUGUCGUGGGCGCAGGAUAUUUGAAAGGAGCUGUCCCUAGUACGAGAGGACCGGGAUGGACGCACCUCUGGUGCACCAGUUGUCACGCCAGUGGCACAGCUGGGCAGCUAUGUGCGGAUCGGAUAAACGCUGAAGGCAUCUAAGCGUGAAACCGGCCUUAAGAUAAGAUAUCCCACUGAGUCAAUCAGGUAAGACCCCUUGAAGACUACAAGGUAGAUAGGCACAAUGUGUAAGCGUGGUGACAUGUUAAGCUAGCGUGUACUAAUCGGUCGAGGGCUUGACCGA
RNAcentral lists this ribosomal RNA (1372 nucleotides) under metagenome. Its description in RNAcentral is "bacterial LSU rRNA". It matches the Rfam family "Bacterial large subunit ribosomal RNA", at positions 1535 to 2925 of the family's 2925-position model. The record is from RNAcentral.